GACGGCGACGGCGACGGCGACGACGACGACGACAACGGCAGUGGCGGGCCGGCCACACAAAAUCAUUUUCCUUUUUGUCUCCUAUCUUCAAGGAUGAGAUUACAGGAAUCUUCACUUACCGUAUAUUCGACGAUCCUCGAACAGCGACCAUGUAUAAACGAACACCGACACAGGGCCCCCUUUACGGAACUGAAGUAACGUUGACGGUAGGCUCAUGAACAAAGACCACGCACGAUUUCAAAUCUCGUCCCGCCUAUUGGCCGGCCAAAGUCACGUGACGCGGCCUAGGCCAUACUCAUUGGUCGGUACGCUUCGUUCGCGAGGAUGUUUUAAAUGCUACACCAUUUGCACAUGGCUGACAAAGGAAUUUACGCGAGAUAUCUUUUUAGACUUUGUUAUGACUUCCCAAAGAUUUUUUUGACCUCGAACAUUCGGCCUAGCGAUUAUGUUAAAUCCUUCGCUUGAUAACACCCACGAAAAUCUCCAAACGAUCGGCACGAAUGACAGAAGUGGCAGCAUGUUUUUCUUCCAUUUUCCCCCUCCCCGCCGCAAGAAAAUGGCCGAGUCCAUGCACGAAGAAAAAAUUCUUCUUACUCCUGAUUAAUAAAUUAUUUUGAUAUUUCGAGGACCGUCCGAGGAAGUUAUUAUUUUUAAACACUAUCACACGAAAUAUCAUUCACAAUUUUCAUCGUUACGUUGAUAAAAUAAUUGAGACAAAGUCGAAGAAGAUGGACGAGUCUAUUACUUUGUUAGAGAGGGAUGGUUGGCAUAUGGUUAACAAUGAACCCACUACGUACGACAAUGGCGGGAAUACACAUUUGUGCGCACCGAUAUAUCGACUUCUAGAUCAACAAAGGAUACUCGCGACACUAUCACCGAUCGUUUUAUCCAAUUAAACUGGCACAAAUAAAUCUGGAGGAAUAAGACGAUGACUUUUUGCGCAAUUUUACACAGAUAAUAAAGUCGGCAUCCUUUGAUACUGCUGAGGUCAAUGGGCGGUUCCUUUAACAUACCUUUUGUAUAUUUUCGAUCAACUUGUAUAACAUCGACAAAUUAUGAUGGCCAGUAAUAUUUUCACAAUUUUUCAUCUGUGUAUAAAGAUUAACAUUUAUAUAUUAUAAAUUAUUUCACAUUACAUUAAGAUCGACUACUACUUCUUCUUGGAUGAACAAAUACAUAUAGAUUUAUAUAUACAUAUAUAUUACUUUUUCGUUGAUCUAUCUUUAUAUUAAUUUAUUCAAUAUUUUCAUUUCAUCGCUCUAUAAUUUAUCUUGUUCAAUUAUUUGUAUUUUCUUCUCCCUCUUAUGAGAAUAUUAUUACUCGCAUUGUCUGCUUUUUUUUAUGUGCUAUGGGUUUUCAUUGAUUUCUCAUUCCUCUUAUUCUUAUAGAACGAUUUUCUCCUCUGAUACGCAUCAUAAAAUAUAUAAAUCUUUCGUUUAUCAUAACAAUUGAUUCGUAUGAUUAUAUAUUAAUUUGUUAUUGCACUUUGGUUAUACUAUGGAUAUACCUCAAUGACA
Molecule: long non-coding RNA, 1517 nt
Organism: Vespa crabro (European hornet)
Lineage: Eukaryota; Metazoa; Arthropoda; Insecta; Hymenoptera; Vespidae
Exons: 2
Source: RefSeq, a predicted model, not a curated record